Molecule: transfer RNA, 73 nt
Filed under: Balaenoptera acutorostrata scammoni
Lineage: Eukaryota; Metazoa; Chordata; Mammalia; Artiodactyla; Balaenopteridae
Description: tRNA-Sup (CTA) (tRNA-Sup-CTA-4-1)
Rfam family: tRNA
About the family: Transfer RNA (tRNA) molecules are approximately 80 nucleotides in length. Their secondary structure includes four short double-helical elements and three loops (D, anti-codon, and T loops).
Source: RNAcentral
UCCCUGGUGGUCCAGUGGUUAGGACUCCGCGCUUCUACUGCACGGGGCACAGGUUUGAUUCCUGUUCAGGGAA